Molecule: ribosomal RNA, 301 nt
Filed under: uncultured bacterium
Lineage: Bacteria
Description: partial 16S ribosomal RNA
Rfam family: Bacterial small subunit ribosomal RNA
Source: RNAcentral
CAGCCGCCACGGUAAUACGAAGGGUGCAAGCGUUACUCGGAAUUACUGGGCGUAAAGCGUGUGUAGGUGGUUGUUUAAGUCUGUCGUGAAAGCCCUGGGCUCAACCUGGGAAUUGCAGUGGAUACUGGGUCACUAGAGUGUGGUAGAGGAUGGUGGAAUUCCCGGUGUAGCGGUGAAAUGCGUAGAGAUCGGGAGGAACAUCAGUGGCGAAGGCGGCCAUCUGGGACAACACUGACGCUGAGGCACGAAAGCGUGGGGAGCAAACAGGAUUAGAUACCCCAGUAGUCCCUGUCUCUUAUAA